This 77-nucleotide transfer RNA is filed under the name Candidatus Omnitrophota bacterium. RNAcentral describes it as "tRNA-Arg". It matches the Rfam family "tRNA". Rfam says of the family: Transfer RNA (tRNA) molecules are approximately 80 nucleotides in length. Lineage: Bacteria; Pseudomonadati; Candidatus Omnitrophota. The record is from RNAcentral.
GCGCCCGUAGCUCAGCUGGAUAGAGUAGGUGGCUUCGAACCACUUGGCCGCAAGUUCAAAUCUUGCCGGGCGUGCCA